CAUAAUUUAGUUACACCAUCAAAGCCUUGAGAAUCAAGAAGUAGCUUGGUUAGUGUUUUGGAGUCAAAUAUUAUUAGAUGUCAUGUGUAUGAGUGAGUAUGACAACUAGAACCAUAAUCGGACCUUAAAAUCCUAAGUAUUGAAUCUUUGUAAGAAGAUACAAAGACAAAGACUCAUACGGACUUCGACUACACUAUCAAUGCUUUGAGAAGCAAGAAGAAGCUUGGUUAAUGUUUUGGAGUCGAAAAUAACUUGAUGUGAUGUGUAUGAUUAAGUAUAAGAACUUAAACCGCAACCGAAGCUUAAAGGCCUAAGUAGUGUUUCCUUGAUAGAAGAUACAAAGGCAUAGACUCAUACGGAGUUUAGCUACACCAUCAAAGCUUUGAGAAGUAAGAAGAAGCUUGGUUACUGUUUAUGAGUCAAAUAUGACUAGAUGUCAUGUGUAUGAGUGAAUAUAACAACUAGAACCGCAAUUGGAUUUUAAGAGCCUAAGUAUUGUAUCCUUGUAAGAAGAUACAAAGACAAACACUCAUACGCACUUCGGCUACACCAUCAAAGCUUUGAGAAGGAAGACAAGCUUGGUUAGUGUUUUGGAGUCGAAAAUGACUUGAUGUGAUGUGUAUGAUUGAGUAUAAGAACUUAAACUGCAACCGGAGCUUAAAAGUCUAAGUAGUGUUUCCUUGAUAGAAGAUACAAAGGCAAAGACUCAUACAGAGUUUAGCUACACCAUCAAAGCUUUGAGAAGUAAGAAGAAGCUUGGUUACUGUUUAGGAGUCAAGUAUGACUAGAUGUCAUGUGUAUGAGUGAGUAUAACAACUAUAACCGC
Molecule: small RNA, 826 nt
Filed under: Arabidopsis thaliana (thale cress)
Lineage: Eukaryota; Viridiplantae; Streptophyta; Magnoliopsida; Brassicales; Brassicaceae
Description: ATSL268730
Source: RNAcentral